GAAACUCAUGGAAAAAAUAACAAAUGUGAUAUCAGAGCUUAAAGUGCGGUACCCCACUAGCUAUAUUUUAGUAGGAGGAGACUGGAACAUGACUCCGGAUGAAUGGGUGGACAGGAUGCCUCCAAGACUAUGCAAACCAAAUUGUAAUGAGAUUAUUAAAAGUUUUACGACAGAUAAUAAUUUAACUGAUGUUUGGAGGUGUCUCAACCCAGAUGUUGAAAGUUACUCAUGGUUUAAACCCAAUGGGGGUAACAAGUCCAGAAUCGAUUAUUGGAUGGUGAGUGAUGACAUUCUAAGAAAUACUUUACGUUCUAGAAUCUCUAAAGCACCCUUGACUGAUCAUUGUUUCAUAGAUUUAGUUUUAGGACCCGCAGUGAAAGAAGUUAGGAAUAAAGGGUAUUGGAAAUUCAAUGCCAGAUUGCUAAAGAAUGAAGACUAUUUUAUUCAGAUUAGAGAAUUGAUAAAAGAAAAUGAAGAUAAUGAAUCGUUCAGAAAUAAUAUGGGUAGAUGGGAAUUUAUUAAGUUUAAGAUAAGACAAUUUACUAUUAAAUUUAGCAAAAAACUCAGCAGGGAAAAAAGGGAAUAUGAAAGCAAUUUACUUCGAGAAAUAAAUAUGUGCUGUAGUAAAGUAGAAUUAAACUCUCAAGAGAAGAAUAAACUAAUGGAGUUACAAGUUAAAUUAGAUGAUCUCUAUCUUGAAAAAGCUCAGGGCGCCUUCAUAAGAUCAAGGGCAAAGUGGAUUGAAGCAGGUGAAAAAAACUCCGCAUACUUUAGCAAUUUGGAAAAAAGUAGACAGUUAAAAAACUCUAUUACAAGUCUAAUAAUUAAUGGAAUAGAAAAUAAAGAUGCUAGAAGUAUAGAAAAAGAGGUUUUCUCAUUCUACUCUGAAUUAUAUUCCUCUCGUUAUUCGGCAGUAGAUGCCAACAUUCUGUUUGAUAAGAUUAAGAACUCCAGAUCUUGCAUUGAUGACUCCUUUAUGGAUAUAUGUGACUCGGAUUUUAAAAUCGAGGAACUGGAUUCAGUUAUUUCUAAGAUGGCCUUAAAUAAAUCCCCAG
Long non-coding RNA from Cyprinus carpio (common carp), 1055 nucleotides. NCBI's taxonomy places the organism in Eukaryota, Metazoa, Chordata, Actinopteri, Cypriniformes, Cyprinidae. The record is from Ensembl.